RNAcentral lists this ribosomal RNA (251 nucleotides) under uncultured bacterium. Its description in RNAcentral is "partial 16S ribosomal RNA". It matches the Rfam family "Bacterial small subunit ribosomal RNA", at positions 524 to 776 of the family's 1533-position model. The record is from RNAcentral.
UACGGAGGGUGCAAGCGUUAUCCGGAUUCACUGGUUUAAAGGGUGCGUAGGUGGGCAGUUAAGUCAGUGGUGAAAUCUCCGGGCUCAACCGUGAAACUGCCUUGAUACUAUCUGUCUUGAAUAUCGUGGAGGUAAGCGGAAUAUGUCAUGUAGCGGUGAAAUGCUUAGAUAUGACAUAGAACACCAAUUGCGAAGGCAGCUUACUACCCGAAUAUUGACACUGAGGCACGAAAGCGUGGGGAUCAAACAGG